RNAcentral lists this transfer RNA (72 nucleotides) under Treponema sp. Its description in RNAcentral is "tRNA-Arg". It matches the Rfam family "tRNA". Rfam says of the family: Transfer RNA (tRNA) molecules are approximately 80 nucleotides in length. Their secondary structure includes four short double-helical elements and three loops (D, anti-codon, and T loops). Further hydrogen bonds mediate the characteristic L-shaped molecular structure. tRNAs have two regions of fundamental functional importance: the anti-codon, which is responsible for specific mRNA codon recognition, and the 3' end, to which the tRNAs corresponding amino acid is attached (by aminoacyl-tRNA synthetases). tRNAs cope with the degeneracy of the genetic code in two manners: having more than one tRNA (with a specific anti-codon) for a particular amino acid; and 'wobble' base-pairing, i.e. permitting non-standard base-pairing at the 3rd anti-codon position. The record is from RNAcentral. Lineage: Bacteria; Pseudomonadati; Spirochaetota; Spirochaetia; Treponematales; Treponemataceae.
GGCCCUAUAGCUCAAUGGAUAGAGCACUGGCCUUCUAAGCCAGCUAUGAUGGUUCGAUUCCGUCUCGGGUCA